UCCCUGGAGGACUAGUGGUUAAGCCAUGGCAUGCUCACCGCCACGGCCCGGGUUUGAUUCCCGUCCAGGGAA
This 72-nucleotide transfer RNA is filed under the name Pangasianodon gigas (Mekong giant catfish). Its description in RNAcentral is "tRNA-Glu". Lineage: Eukaryota; Metazoa; Chordata; Actinopteri; Siluriformes; Pangasiidae. The record is from RNAcentral.